GAUGAACGCUGGCGGCGUGCUUAACACAUGCAAGUCGAACGAUGAAGCCCAGCUUGCUGGGUGGGUGAGGGGCGAACGGGUGAGUAACACGUGAGUAAUCUGCUCUUAAGGCUGGUAUAAGCCUGGGAAACUGGGUCUAAUACCGUAUAGGAGCGUCCACCGCCUGGUGGUGUUUGGAGAGAUUUAUCGGUUUUGGAUGGACUCGCGGCCUAUCAGCUUGUUGGUGAGGUAAUGGCUCACCAAGGCGACGACGGGUAGCCGGCCUGAGAGGGUGACCGGCCACACUGGGACUGAGACACGGCCCAGACUCCUACGGGAGGCAGCAGUGGGGAAUAUUGCACAAUGGGCGCAAGCCUGAUGCAGCGACGCCGCGUGAGGGAUGACGGCCUUCGGGUUGUAAACCUCUUUCAGUAGGGAAGAAGCGAAAGUGACGGUACCUGCAGAAGAAGCACCGGCUAACUACGUG
RNAcentral lists this ribosomal RNA (466 nucleotides) under uncultured bacterium. RNAcentral's name for it is "partial 16S ribosomal RNA". It matches the Rfam family "Bacterial small subunit ribosomal RNA", at positions 28 to 507 of the family's 1533-position model. The record is from RNAcentral.